This 495-nucleotide ribosomal RNA is filed under the name uncultured bacterium. Its description in RNAcentral is "partial 16S ribosomal RNA". It matches the Rfam family "Bacterial small subunit ribosomal RNA", at positions 28 to 507 of the family's 1533-position model. The record is from RNAcentral.
GACGAACGCUGGCGGCGUGCCUAAUACAUGCAAGUAGAACGCUGAAGGAGGAGCUUGCUUCUCUGGAUGAGUUGCGAACGGGUGAGUAACGCGUAGGUAACCUGCCUGGUAGCGGGGGAUAACUAUUGGAAACGAUAGCUAAUACCGCAUGAUAGUAGAUGUUGCAUGACAUUUGCUUAAAAGGUGCAAUUGCAUCACUACCAGAUGGACCUGCGUUGUAUUAGCUAGUUGGUGGGGUAACGGCGCACCAAGGCGACGAUACAUAGCCGACCUGAGAGGGGGAUCGGCCACACUGGGACUGAGACACGGCCCAGACUCCUACGGGAGGCAGCAGUAGGGAAUCUUCGGCAAUGGACGGAAGUCUGACCGAGCAACGCCGCGUGAGUGAAGAAGGUUUUCGGAUCGUAAAGCUCUGUUGUAAGAGAAGAACGAGUGUGAGAGUGGAAAGUUCACACUGUGACGGUAUCUUACCAGAAAGGGACGGCUAACUACGUG